GCGCACCAGUCGCGAAAACUUUACAAUGUGCGAAAGCACGAUAAGGGAACUCUGAGUGCCUCCUAAGGAGGCUGUUCAGGUGUCUAAAAAGACACCUGAAGGAAGGGCGUGGGUAAGGACCGGUGCCAGCCGCCGCGGUAACACCGGCAGCCCAACGUGGUAGCCACGUUUAUUGGGUCUAAAGCGUCCGUAGCCGGCUGGGUAAGUUCCUUGGGAAAUUUGGCUGCUUAACAGUCAAGCUUUCAGGGAAUACUGCCCGGCUUGGGACCGGGAGAGGUCAGAGGUACUCCAGGGGUAGGGGUGAAAUCCAUUAAUCCUUGGGGGACCACCGGUAGCGAAGGCGUCUGACCAGACCGGGUCCGACGGUGAGGGACGAAGGCUA
RNAcentral lists this ribosomal RNA (382 nucleotides) under uncultured microorganism. RNAcentral's name for it is "bacterial SSU rRNA". It matches the Rfam family "Archaeal small subunit ribosomal RNA", at positions 330 to 713 of the family's 1478-position model. The record is from RNAcentral.